RNAcentral lists this ribosomal RNA (490 nucleotides) under uncultured bacterium. Its description in RNAcentral is "partial 16S ribosomal RNA". It matches the Rfam family "Bacterial small subunit ribosomal RNA", at positions 30 to 507 of the family's 1533-position model. The record is from RNAcentral.
AUUGAACGCUGGCGGCAGGCCUAACACAUGCAAGUCGAACGGUAACAGGAAGCAUCUUGCUGUUUCGCUGACGAGUGGCGGACGGGUGAGUUAUGUCUGUGAAACUUCCUGAUGGAGGGGGAUCACUACUGGAAACGGUAGCUAAUACCGCAUAACGUCGCAAGACCAAAGAGGGGGACCUUCGGGCCUCUUGCCAUCGGCUGUGCCCAGAUGGGAUUAGCUAGUAGGUGGGGUAACGGCUCACCUAGGCGACGAUCCCUAGCUGGUCUGAGAGGAUGACCAGUCACACUGGAACUGAGACACGGUCCAGACUCCUACGGGAGGCAGCAGUGGGGAAUAUUGCACAAUGGGCGAAAGCCUGAUGCAGCCAUGCCGCGUGUAUGAAGAAGGUCUUCGGGUUGUAAAGUACUUUAAGCGGGGAUGAAGGGAGUAAAGUUAAUACCUUGGCUCAUUGACGUUACCAGCAGAAGAAGCACCGGCUAACUCCGUG